Molecule: ribosomal RNA, 253 nt
Filed under: uncultured bacterium
Lineage: Bacteria
Description: partial 16S ribosomal RNA
Rfam family: Bacterial small subunit ribosomal RNA
Source: RNAcentral
UACGAAGGGGGCUAGCGUUGCUCGGAAUGACUGGGCGUAAAGGGCGCGUAGGCGGAUGGCACAGUCAGAUGUGAAAUUCCCGGGCUUAACCUGGGGGCUGCAUUUGUUACGUGUUGUCUUGAGUUCGGAAGAGGGUCGUGGAAUUCCCAGUGUAGAGGUGAAAUUCGUAGAUAUUGGGAAGAACACCGGUGGCGAAGGCGGCGACCUGGUCCGACACUGACGCUGAGGCGCGAAAGCGUGGGGAGCAAACAGG